This 442-nucleotide ribosomal RNA is filed under the name uncultured bacterium. RNAcentral's name for it is "partial 16S ribosomal RNA". It matches the Rfam family "Bacterial small subunit ribosomal RNA", at positions 338 to 795 of the family's 1533-position model. The record is from RNAcentral.
CCUACGGGUGGCAGCAGUAGGGAAUCUUUCACAAUGGGCGAAAGCCUGAUGGAGCAACGCCGCGUGCAGGAUGAAGGCCUUCGGGUUGUAAACUGCUUUUAUAAUCGAGAAAUAUGAUGGUACCUUAUGAAUAAGGAUCGGCUAACUACGUGACAGCAGCCGCGGUCAUACGUAGGAUCCGAGCAUUAUCCGGAGUGACUGGGUGUAAAGAGUUGCGUAGGUGGCAUAAUAAGUAGCUAGUGAAAUCUGGUGGCUCAACCAUUCAGACUAUUAGCUAAACUGUUAAGCUCGAGACCGUUAGGGGUAACUGGAAUUUCUAGUGUAGGAGUGAAAUCCGUAGAUAUUAGAAGGAACACCAAUAGCGUAGGCAGGUUGCUGGGACGGUUCUGACACUAAGGCACGAAAGCGUAGGGAGCAAACGGGAUUAGAUACCCGUGUAGUC